Long non-coding RNA from Strongylocentrotus purpuratus (purple sea urchin), 3835 nucleotides. RefSeq lists it as uncharacterized. The transcript has 4 exons. The record is from RefSeq and is a predicted model, not a curated record. NCBI's taxonomy places the organism in Eukaryota, Metazoa, Echinodermata, Echinoidea, Camarodonta, Strongylocentrotidae.
UUGUUUGUUGUUGAUGUUGUGUGUAUACACUUCUUGUUCCUUAUACCACCCUUUUCCUAAUGUUUUCUUAGAUAGUCACAAAUAUGUACUCCCAUCAUGCUUAUCUUGUUGCUAGUAUAUGUACCAACCAAUUAUUUGGUCCACAGGGUCCCCUAAAACUUACAAGCUCUGCUUUUACUAGGGUCUCCUCGUCUUUCUUUUAGUUCUCUUUGUUUUUACCAUUGCCAUAAUUUUUUUUUUGCAUUGUAAAUGUGAAUUGAUCUAAUGUUAUGCUAUAUGUGACAUUUGAAAGAAACUGGGGACGAAUAAAUGUCCUAUCUAUAUCUUAUCUUAUUUAAAAAAAAUUAUGUGGACAUUAUUAUUUGUAAAUAAUGGAUAACAUGAAAUCAUUACCGUAUUCAUAUAUAAUGAAUAUCGUGAAAUUAUUAUUUAUGAAAUACUUAUAAAAUAUUAAUUGCAUUAUAUAUAAAUAAUUAUUUGACAAUAAUUACUGUAAGGUAAAUAAUGAAUUAAAUACAUAAAUGUUGGGGUAAAUAAUAUUUCUACAAACGGCGCUUCGUAGUCGCCUACGUCUCUGGGUAUUCAAAAUGGAAGAAGCGCGCUGGAUGAAAUAAUUAAAUGAGCUAUUUCAAAAAGUCGUAAAGUGACGACGUACGUCACUCAAUCUGUAACAAGCCAUGCAUUCAAACAGCAAUGGUGAUAUGCUGGGCAGUAAAACAGCAUCGUUAUUUUAAAUGGUUCGUGCUCUGAGUCUGAGAGCCCUGCUUUCAUAUCGGCUCUGUGCAGCGUCUCUAUGGAGUCGGGCUAACACGGACCCGUCCCAGGCCAGCCGCCCUCCCGACGGUCUUUCCUCCUUCGCGAUGAUGAGGAAAACCAAGCGAGCACAUGUUCGGAGAGCUCGAGAGAGGAAAUGAAGCCCGGAUGCUGCUGUACUUGUGUGUGCAUGUGCGCGCCUGUACAUGCUGUGCUCUGAUGUUGAUUCAGCCUUGUGUUGUGGUGAUAACAAGAGCAAAGUGAUGAAUCCUACAAGGCAAGAUGAGAAACCUCUUGGAUCUCUCACUCUCUGCUGUUGCCAUACUUUGGGGGACACAGGAGGACAUUGUCUGGUUCAAGGAAGGCAUGGUGCUGGCUGAGCUGGGACUUGAUCAUGAUGUGGAGAUGGAGAUGUCUUGCGUUUCUUAUUACAGAUCCACAGAUUUCUGUAGUCGAGAAUUCUAAAGAGAUUGAAAGAUGAGCACUCGCUCCUGGACAUUCCUGCAUCAUUCAGAGUCCAGAAUCUCCUGCUGGCCUAUACAAUACAACAGCUCUCUGAUCCCUGGUGCGUAGUCCUCAUGGAUAUUCCAGCUAAUCCUUGUCACACACAUCUCUUUGUUUUAUCUGGACAUCAUGAUUUUGAAGAGCUACAUUGCUGCAAAAACAACGUUGCCCCAAGGAGAGAGUUAGCUACAUCCACUUGAGGAACUGAAAGUAGACAUUUAUGCUGCCCAUGGGUAUUCCACUCCACUAUUUGCAACAAGCCUUGUGAGAAAUCGGCACAUCUGAACGUGAAGUUGCUCAACCGAGGGAUACCAGUUUUUAUUAUCAGUGCUUGAGAAACAGAAUGAUUCAUAGCAGAAAUUGACACCCAUCACAUCACAAGAACUGCUUCACAAACACUUUUAUUCUUAAAAAAAGUACAGCAGGUUAUUUGAACAUUUAAACUUGAAAUUUGGCUGACAGAGGGGUGCAAGUAUUCAAAGGAUGCAGAGAACAUUGGCAACGGCAGCAGGGCAGUGCAUCCAUCGUCACUCCUCACAUCGCUUCAAGAAUGAGGAUCACAAGUAUUCAAGUUAUGCAAAGAACAUUGGCAACGGCAGCAGGGCAGAACAUCAAUCGAUACUCUUCACAUCGCUUCAAGAAUGAGGAUCACAAGUAUUCAAGGUCUGCAGGGAACAUUAGCAAUGACAGCACGGCAGAGCAUCAAUCGACACUCCUUGCAUCAUUUCCAGAAUGAGGAUCACAAGAGAGGUUUGGCUGUCUUGUUUGUGUCAUGGCCACGAUUGAUGGUUGCGAAGUUGUGUCGAUGAGUCUGUGUCUGCAUUUCCUAAUCAUAUGCAGAGACUUUUGCAUUGUUUUGUAGGGUGUGACUUCGGCCUAGUGUGACUGCUAGAGGGUGGUGAUCUGAUAUUUGUUUUAGGUUUUAUUAUUUAGAUGUUGGCCUGCGCUGCAAUUUGAUUUUACAUGGUGGUUUUACAUAAGUGAUGGAACCAGUUAUAGAGGUCAAGAAUUUUGAAUUUGUUUUAAAAAUAAUUUGUGCUGGAGCAGUUGUUGUUGGAACAUGUGUCGUAAAAUCCAGAGAGGCAAAAAUAUUCUUGUGAGAUAUUGAAUACACCCAUGAGGGCAGAAAUUCUGGCCCUAUUACCCCCACUCCUUCAAAAAAGUCCCCCCCCCCCAAAAAAAAAAAAGAGGGAAAAAAUGAUUAUAUCAUUAUAGCAUUACUAUAAUUUAACUGAAAGUGUUUAUUUAAAAAAACAUACUUUUACAGAAAAUUUGGUUAUGUCAAAGAGAUGAAGAGUUUCACCAACUGUGGAUUAUACCUACCUGUUACAAGUCCUGAAAAGGUUUAAUUUAGUGUGAUUCUGGUUUGUGUGUUGAACGUCUAUGUAUGAUUACAGUUUGUUUGUGUAUGACCAUGUGAUAUGAUAUGAUUACUAAACCAGCUACCCUUACUCAAAGCCUAGACCUGUUGAAAUAGAUCUAAAUGGACAAGCAAAUUUCUGCUGUUUUUAAACUUAGUUGGAACAAAAUAGAUCUUCUGCAGACAUGUUAGGAUGUUUCAGUGCCUAAAACAGACCAUACGAUGUGAUAUUGCAAAAUAUUUAGCUCUACAUGUAUAUUCUAAUGAAAGCUCUUUGGCUAUGUGAGCGAAUGAGACCAUGCUGCUUGCAUUUUUGCGGCUAAGAGCCCCUUUAUUUCUACUGUCUCUGAGUUUAGCUGCAUGCUUUUAGGGAUGAUUUUACGCUCAGCCAUGCGAAGUAACCGUUUGAUGGAGACAAACUCGCUUGUUUUGUUUUUUUUAGGAAAUGAAAAAAACAUGCAGUAGUGAUUUAAAUCAUCUUUGUUUUAAUGAAUGAACAUUUAUUGGUUUGAAUAUUUGUCAAAUAAAAGCAACAAAGGAACUCUUCCCAGAUGGGAUAUAACAAAGUAUGCUUUGUCUUUUUCUACAUUGAAAAAUAUCUUGUAGACAAAAAUCAAAUCAAAUAGAUUCAAGCGUCUAUAAUUCUAAAACUUCUUUCCCUUAAACAAUCGAGCCCAUGGCGUUUACUGUCAUCACAGAGAAUUUACCUAGAAGUAAGGACAGCACGCAGGGCAAGGUUGUUUGGGGGUCAGCUGGAUAAUGUACUUUCUGUGCAAAGUCAACACUGUAAUGAAACACUAUGGGCUUGGAAUUAGCAGGAUUUUUUCCUAGCUUCUUGAUGGAAAGCUCUCUAGUGACUGCCUUUGAGCCUUGACAGGCUGUCCGUUAAGUAUCCCUCUCUCUCUAGGCCCCUAGAAGAUGCUCCUCCUGCCUCCUGAGUGCUUCUGUCUUCUGUUCAUCAGGAACAUUGACCUGCAGACAUGAGGGAAAAAAGCAAAACAAAACAAAAAUCUGAUUAGUCAAAAUAUCUCAUCUGCUAUUUUUCUCCGAACAGGUUAUUUCAAUUUGAUUGGUGGAAAGGUCUGCUUUGGUGGCAUGGUUUGUUUUUCUGUAUAUGGCUCUUUCUAUAAAUAGAGGGCCCAUAGUGUGACAUUAAGGUCAACAUUUCAUAUUCAUGCCAUGUUGCUCAAACUCCGGUCAUAGUGAGAACAAAUCAAG